This 480-nucleotide ribosomal RNA is filed under the name uncultured bacterium. Its description in RNAcentral is "partial 16S ribosomal RNA". It matches the Rfam family "Bacterial small subunit ribosomal RNA", at positions 28 to 507 of the family's 1533-position model. The record is from RNAcentral.
GACGAACGCUGGCGGCGUGCUUAACACAUGCAAGUCGAACGAUGAAGAAAAGAAUCGAAGCUUCGGCAGAAAUUCAUUUCGGAUUAGUGGCAGACGGGUGAGUAACGCGUGAGCAACCUACCUCUUACAAAGGGAUAGCCUCGGGAAACCGGGAUUAAUACCAUAUAACAUUGCGACGAAGCAUUUCGAUGCAAUCAAAGCUACGGCGGUAAGAGAUGGGCUCGCGUCCCAUUAACCGGAUGGUGAGGUAACGGCUCACCAUAGUGACGAUGGGUAACCGGCCUGAGAGGGUGAACGGUCACACUGGAACUGAGACACGGUCCAGACUCCUACGGGAAGCAGCAGUGGGGAAUAUUGCACAAUGGAGGGAACUCUGAUGCAGCGACGCCGCGUGAGUGAUGAAGGAAUUCGUUUCGUAAAACUCUGUUCUAUGGGAAGAAAAGGACUGUACCAUAGGAGAAAGCGCCGGCUAAAUACGUG